UACGUAGGGUGCGAGCGUUGUCCGGAAUUAUUGGGCGUAAAGGGCUCGUAGGCGGUUUGUCGCGUCGGGAGUGAAAACGCCGUGCUUAACACGGCGCUUGCUUUCGAUACGGGCAGACUAGAGGUAUGCAGGGGAGAACGGAAUUCCUGGUGUAGCGGUGAAAUGCGCAGAUAUCAGGAGGAACACCAGUGGCGAAGGCGGUUCUCUGGGCAUUACCUGACGCUGAGGAGCGAAAGUGUGGGGAGCGAACAGG
RNAcentral lists this ribosomal RNA (253 nucleotides) under uncultured bacterium. RNAcentral's name for it is "partial 16S ribosomal RNA". It matches the Rfam family "Bacterial small subunit ribosomal RNA", at positions 524 to 776 of the family's 1533-position model. The record is from RNAcentral.